Molecule: small nuclear RNA, 104 nt
Filed under: Carlito syrichta (Philippine tarsier)
Lineage: Eukaryota; Metazoa; Chordata; Mammalia; Primates; Tarsiidae
Source: RNAcentral
GUGCUGACUUCGGCAACACAUAUACUAAAAUUGAAAUGAUACAAAGAACAACAUGGCCCCUGCACAAGGAUGACAUGCAAAUUCGUGAAGCGUUCUGUACUUAA